UUAGUCGUGGCCAAGUGGUUAAGGCGAUGGACUUGAAAUCCAUUGGGGUCUCCCUACAGAGGUUCAAGUCCUGAUAACUAUG
RNAcentral lists this transfer RNA (82 nucleotides) under Scleropages formosus (Asian bonytongue). It matches the Rfam family "tRNA". Rfam says of the family: Transfer RNA (tRNA) molecules are approximately 80 nucleotides in length. Lineage: Eukaryota; Metazoa; Chordata; Actinopteri; Osteoglossiformes; Osteoglossidae. The record is from Rfam by way of RNAcentral.